This 246-nucleotide unclassified non-coding RNA is filed under the name plant metagenome. RNAcentral describes it as "partial contains 5.8S ribosomal RNA, internal transcribed spacer 2, and large subunit ribosomal RNA". The stretch from base 1 to 105 matches the Rfam family "5.8S ribosomal RNA", at positions 50 to 154 of the family's 154-position model. The record is from RNAcentral.
GAAAUGCGAUAAGUAAUGUGAAUUGCAGAAUUCAGUGAAUCAUCGAAUCUUUGAACGCACAUUGCGCCCCUUGGUAUUCCAUGGGGCAUGCCUGUUCGAGCGUCAUCUACACCCUCAAGCUCUGCCCAACCAGAACAUAGUAAGCACUACUUGUCCGGGUGAAGCUGAACGGUACGGCCUGAACAAAACCUACCCACUCUCAAGGUUUGACCUCAGAUCAGACAAGGAUACCCACUGAACUUAAGC